ACAGAGGUGCCCGUUAUAGUUUUGGAAGAUUAAUACCAUUCGCCCUUCUGCAACUGUCGUUUUGACAGUAUUACGCAGACACGCACGCUUUUGUUUUAAAAGAAUGCACCAUUAGAAUGAGAAGGAUCUUAUGAGUUGAGCAUGGCUGUUGAAAAGACCCAUUAAUACCGUUGCUCGUAGUAAAGGACCUUACAA
Molecule: small nuclear RNA, 195 nt
Organism: Eremothecium sinecaudum
Lineage: Eukaryota; Fungi; Ascomycota; Saccharomycetes; Saccharomycetales; Saccharomycetaceae
Source: RefSeq, a predicted model, not a curated record